This 221-nucleotide ribosomal RNA is filed under the name uncultured bacterium. RNAcentral describes it as "partial 16S ribosomal RNA". It matches the Rfam family "Bacterial small subunit ribosomal RNA", at positions 29 to 279 of the family's 1533-position model. The record is from RNAcentral.
AGCGAACGCUGGCGGCAGGCCUAACACAUGCAAGUCGAACGGACCCUUCGGGGUUAGUGGCGGACGGGUGAGUAACACGUGGGAACGUGCCUUUAGGUUCGGAAUAGCUCCUGGAAACGGGUGGUAAUGCCGAAUGUGCCCUUGGGGAAAGAUUUAUCGCCUUUAGAGCGGCCCGCGUCUGAUUAGCUAGUUGGUGAGGUAAUGGCUCACCAAGGCGACGA